GGGUUGUGAGGUUAAGCGACUAAGCGUACACGGUGGAUGCCCUGGCAGUCAGAGGCGAUGAAGGACGUGCUAAUCUGCGAAAAGCGUCGGUAAGGUGAUAUGAACCGUUAUAACCGGCGAUGUCCGAAUGGGGAAACCCAGUGCAAUUCGUUGCACUAUCGUUAACUGAAUACAUAGGUUAACGAGGCGAACCGGGGGAACUGAAACAUCUAAGUACCCCGAGGAAAAGAAAUCAACCGAGAUUCCCCCAGUAGCGGCGAGCGAACGGGGAGCAGCCCAGAGUCUGAAUCAGCUUGUGUGUUAGUGGAACGGUCUGGAAAGUCCGACGGUACAGGGUGAUAGUCCCGUACACCAAAAUGCACAGGUUGUGAACUCGAAGAGUAGGGCGGGACACGUGGUAUCCUGUCUGAAUAUGGGGGGACCAUCCUCCAAGGCUAAAUACUCCUGACUGACCGAUAGUGAACCAGUACCGUGAGGGAAAGGCGAAAAGAACCCCGGCGAGGGGAGUGAAAAAGAACCUGAAACCGUGUACGUACAAGCAGUGGGAGCACCUUCGGGUGUGACUGCGUACCUUUUGUAUAAUGGGUCAGCGACUUAUAUUCUGUAGCAAGGUUAACCGUAUAGGGGAGCCGCAGGGAAACCGAGUCUUAACUGGGCGUUAAGUUGCAGGGUAUAGACCCGAAACCCGGUGAUCUAGCCAUGGGCAGGUUGAAGGUUGGGUAACACUAACUGGAGGACCGAACCGACUAAUGUUGAAAAAUUAGCGGAUGACUUGUGGCUGGGGGUGAAAGGCCAAUCAAACCGGGAGAUAGCUGGUUCUCCCCGAAAGCUAUUUAGGUAGCGCCUCGUGAAUUCAUCUUCGGGGGUAGAGCACUGUUUCGGCUAGGGGGUCAUCCCGACUUACCAACCCGAUGCAAACUACGAAUACCGAAGAAUGUUAUCACGGGAGACACACGGCGGGUGCUAACGUCCGUCGUGAAGAGGGAAACAACCCAGACCGCCAGCUAAGGUCCCAAAGUCAUGGUUAAGUGGGAAACGAUGUGGGAAGGCACAGACAGCCAGGAUGUUGGCUUAGAAGCAGCCAUCAUUUAAAGAAAGCGUAAUAGCUCACUGGUCGAGUCGGCCUGCGCGGAAGAUGUAACGGGGCUAAACCAUGCACCGAAGCUGCGGCAGCGACACUAUGUGUUGUUGGGUAGGGGAGCGUUCUGUAAGCCUGCGAAGGUGACCUGUGAGGGUUGCUGGAGGUAUCAGAAGUGCGAAUGCUGACAUAAGUAACGAUAAAGCGGGUGAAAAGCCCGCUCGCCGGAAGACCAAGGGUUCCUGUCCAACGUUAAUCGGGGCAGGGUGAGUCGACCCCUAAGGCGAGGCCGAAAGGCGUAGUCGAUGGGAAACAGGUUAAUAUUCCUGUACUUGGUGUUACUGCGAAGGGGGGACGGAGAAGGCUAUGUUAGCCGGGCGACGGUUGUCCCGGUUUAAGCAUGUAGGCUGGUUGUCCAGGCAAAUCCGGAUAAUCAAGGCUGAGGUGUGAUGACGAGGCACUACGGUGCUGAAGUAACAAAUGCCCUGCUUCCAGGAAAAGCCUCUAAGCAUCAGGUAACAUCAAAUCGUACCCCAAACCGACACAGGUGGUCAGGUAGAGAAUACCAAGGCGCUUGAGAGAACUCGGGUGAAGGAACUAGGCAAAAUGGUGCCGUAACUUCGGGAGAAGGCACGCUGGUGUGUAGGUGAAGUCCCUGCGGAUGGAGCUGAGACCAGUCGAAGAUACCAGCUGGCUGCAACUGUUUAUUAAAAACACAGCACUGUGCAAACACGAAAGUGGACGUAUACGGUGUGACGCCUGCCCGGUGCCGGAAGGUUAAUUGAUGGGGUUAUCCGUAAGGAGAAGCUCUUGAUCGAAGCCCCGGUAAACGGCGGCCGUAACUAUAACGGUCCUAAGGUAGCGAAAUUCCUUGUCGGGUAAGUUCCGACCUGCACGAAUGGCGUAAUGAUGGCCAGGCUGUCUCCACCCGAGACUCAGUGAAAUUGAACUCGCUGUGAAGAUGCAGUGUACCCGCGGCAAGACGGAAAGACCCCGUGAACCUUUACUAUAGCUUGACACUGAACAUUGAGCCUUGAUGUGUAGGAUAGGUGGGAGGCUUUGAAGCGUGGACGCCAGUCUGCGUGGAGCCAACCUUGAAAUACCACCCUUUAAUGUUUGAUGUUCUAACGUUGGCCCCU
This 2217-nucleotide ribosomal RNA is filed under the name Klebsiella pneumoniae subsp. pneumoniae. RNAcentral describes it as "bacterial LSU rRNA". It matches the Rfam family "Bacterial large subunit ribosomal RNA", at positions 1 to 2236 of the family's 2925-position model. The record is from RNAcentral. Lineage: Bacteria; Pseudomonadati; Pseudomonadota; Gammaproteobacteria; Enterobacterales; Enterobacteriaceae.